This 253-nucleotide ribosomal RNA is filed under the name uncultured bacterium. RNAcentral describes it as "partial 16S ribosomal RNA". It matches the Rfam family "Bacterial small subunit ribosomal RNA", at positions 524 to 776 of the family's 1533-position model. The record is from RNAcentral.
UACGAAGGGGGCUAGCGUUGUUCGGAAUCACUGGGCGUAAAGCGCACGUAGGCGGGCGUGUCAGUCAGGGGUGAAAUCCCGGAGCUCAACUCCGGAACUGCCUCUGAUACAGCACGUCUUGAGUUCGAGAGAGGUGGGUGGAAUUCCUAGUGUAGAGGUGAAAUUCGUAGAUAUUAGGAAGAACACCGGUGGCGAAGGCGGCCCACUGGCUCGAUACUGACGCUGAGGUGCGAAGGCGUGGGGAGCAAACAGG